This 344-nucleotide ribosomal RNA is filed under the name uncultured eukaryote. RNAcentral describes it as "SSU rRNA". It matches the Rfam family "Eukaryotic small subunit ribosomal RNA", at positions 567 to 906 of the family's 1831-position model. The record is from RNAcentral.
CCAGCAGCCGCGGUAAUUCCAGCUCCAAUAGCGUAUCUUAAAGUUGCUGCAGUUAAAAAGCUCGUAGUUGGAUCUCGGGAUCGAGCUGACGGUCCGCCGCGAGGCGAGCCACCGUCUGUCCCAGCCCCUGCCUCUCGGCGCCCCCUCGAUGCUCUUAGCUGAGUGUCCCGCGGGGUCCGAAGCGUUUACUUUGAAAAAAUUAGAGUGUUCAAAGCAGGCCCGGUCGCCUGAAUACCGCAGCUAGGAAUAAUGGAAUAGGACUCCGGUUCUAUUUUGUGGGUUUUCUUCUCUGAACUGGGGCCAUGAUUAAGAGGGACGGCCGGGGGCAUUCGUAUUGUGCCGCU